This 504-nucleotide ribosomal RNA is filed under the name uncultured bacterium. RNAcentral's name for it is "bacterial SSU rRNA". It matches the Rfam family "Bacterial small subunit ribosomal RNA", at positions 8 to 523 of the family's 1533-position model. The record is from RNAcentral.
AGGGUUUGAUUCUGGCUCAGAAUGAACGUUGGCGGCGUGGAUUAGGCAUGCAAGUCGAGCGAGAAGUUUACUUCGGUAAAUGGACAGCGGCGAAAGGGACAGUAAUGUGUAGGUACCUACCCCCCGAUCUGGGAUAGCUGCGGGAAACUGCAGGUAAUACCGGAUAAUGUCUUCGGACCAAAGGUGUGAUUCCGUCAGGGGAGGGGCCUGCAUCCUAUUAGCUUGUUGGUGAGGUAAUGGCUCACCAAGGCAACGAUGGGUAGCGGGUGUGAGAGCAUGACCCGCGUCAUUGGGACUGAGACACUGCCCAGACAUCUACGGAUGGCUGCAGUCGAGAAUCUUCGGCAAUGGGCGAAAGCCUGACCGAGCGACGCCGCGUGCGGGAUGAAGGCCCUCGGGUUGUAAACCGCUGUCGUUGGGGAGGAAAUGCAAAAGGGUUAUCCCUUCUGUUUGACCGAUCCAAGGAGGAAGUACGGGCUAAGUUCGUGCCAGCAGCCGCGGUAA